AACAACUAUCUCUUAACUAACUAUCAUUGUUACUAAUGUAUUAAAGGAAAUUAUUCAAAAACCGGUUGUAAUAUUAAUUAAGAAAAAUGCAUCUCAUUUUGUUUCUAAUAUACCUACGUGCAUAUUCUUGUUUAUCAAGGGACCAAAUACUUGAUAUUUUAACUCAUCAUGUUAAUCCAAAGNNNNNNNNNNNNNNNNNNNNNNNNNNNNNNCCUCUUUUGUUACUAUCCUGUUACAUGGCUACACCUUACUUAGUUAUCACUUAAAGAAUCAAUAUGGUUAGUAAAUAUGAGUUAAAUGUCAAAACUAAAACAAAGAAAUGGACAACUAGUGACUCAUAUAUUUGAUCAUGUAGUACCAUGUUCUUAAAUUUUGGAAGAAAGAUGUUUAACUUUACACGAGUUAAUUUGGUUAAGCUAAAAACUAGGAGAAAUGAAAAAACUAGUGACAUAAUCAACAUUUGCAUAAGUAACCUGACUGUUUUAGAAGUUUAAACACAAGGAACGAAAGAACAUAUACUUAAAAGCUAUUGAAAAUAAUGUAGAGUAAUUAAAGGUUUUAAAAUGAAUGAAAGAGACUUGGUUUUCUAAUCACAAUACUUGAAUAAAAGUAAAACAAUGAAACUUUCAUCUUUUAUUGUGUUACAUGAUCAUGGUGAAAAUUAGACAAAGGCUUUGUUACUACCUAACUAACUAAAACUAAUUGACAAUAAAAGAAAACAUUGGUUUAUCUACUAAACUUUAACGAGAAAAAAAAAAGUAUAAGAAGAAUGAAAAGAAAGAAGAGAUUCAAACCUUAAUUGAAUUUCCUAGCUUUGUGUGAGUUGUGAGAGUGAUAAUUGUGUGUAAAAAGUGAAUGUUAAGACCCUAUUUAUAGAUUUCUAAUUCUACUGCUACAUGGUAAAUUCUCAGUCCACGUUUUCACUUUCAGAAGAAAAAUUAGCCACCUUGUAUGCAUAGGUGUAGUUCUUAUCUUAAAAUUAAAUGCAUGCUUAUCUCUUAAUCUUUCAUUUUAUUUUUCAUUUAAUUUUAAUAACAUAGAUAUUUUUCUGGUCUAAAAGAUGUUUUUCUUUUCGUUUUCAGUGAUCUAAAUUUAUACUAUCGAGUUACCCACUGUCCGAAAUUCGGUAGAAUUUUAAUCCCAAAUUUUUAUCAUAGCCUACUAAAAUAUUUCAUGAUUGAUUUCUAAAAUUAUUUUUCUUAAAUUCACAGUCUAGAGAAAAUAUUAAUUA
Molecule: long non-coding RNA, 1231 nt
Filed under: Trifolium pratense (red clover)
Lineage: Eukaryota; Viridiplantae; Streptophyta; Magnoliopsida; Fabales; Fabaceae
Description: long non-coding RNA (TPRA_LNC006344)
Source: RNAcentral